Molecule: ribosomal RNA, 172 nt
Filed under: uncultured fungus
Lineage: Eukaryota; Fungi
Description: partial 28S ribosomal RNA
Rfam family: Eukaryotic large subunit ribosomal RNA
Source: RNAcentral
UUGAUCUCAAAUCAGGCAGGACUACCCGCUGAACUUAAGCAUAUCAAUAAGCGGAGGAAAAGAAACUAACAAGGAUUCCCUUAGUAACUGCGAGUGAAGUGGGAAAAGCUCAAAUUUGAAAUCUGGCGGUUCUUUACUGUCCGAGUUGUAGUCUAGAGAAGUGCUACCUGUG